Long non-coding RNA from Arabidopsis lyrata subsp. lyrata, 850 nucleotides. RefSeq lists it as uncharacterized. The record is from RefSeq and is a predicted model, not a curated record. NCBI's taxonomy places the organism in Eukaryota, Viridiplantae, Streptophyta, Magnoliopsida, Brassicales, Brassicaceae. The transcript has 2 exons.
ACAAAACUUCGUGUAAAUUCUAUCCUCCGGUUUACCGAAUUAGAGAGGAAUACGCUUUGAGACGGCGACUUAAUAGUGACAACGGCGGGAAUUAUGUACUUCACCAGAGCAAAAACAAGUUCUCGAAGACGAAGAUGAAAGGACGACGAGACUAAGAGAAAGGUUUCAGAGAGAGAAAAUAUGAGACAAAGAUGAAGAUAAAUCAACAUGGCUACUACACAAGUGCGUGAGGACAAAAUGGGAAGAAACGUGGGCUAAAUUUUACUAAUGUCUUGGACAAUUUUCCAUAACCCCGAAAAUUUUAUUUGCCCAGAUCGGUUACCUUACACCCAAUUAUCUCUUUAUUUUAAUUUUCAAAAAUAAUUUUAUUUUGGUAAAUCAAUUAAACACAAACUUUGAACCUAAAAAUUUUUCCUCUUCCCCCUCAUUUCUCUCCGUCGUCGAAAGAAAAAACAGAAAAGCCAAUUCUCUCGAUUCUUAUUCUCCGGCAAGAUCUUCAAUGCUGCUUCUCCGGCGACCCAACGCUACUCUCCGCCAUCAAAGCACAAGGUUGUGAGAAGGAUAUUGGAGAGCUCAAAAAGUUGUGUUCAGUUGUUAUGAGAAAGAGAUACAAGAGUUAAGGAGCUUCAAAAAUAUGGUUGUGUGCUUUGGUCAUAGUUCUAUGUAAGAGGUUUAUUUUUAGUUGAGUUUGUAUUGAUUGGUCUUUCUCUUGAGAUUGGAUUUAAUAAUUAGAGUUUAUUGAGAUUGUAUUGGUCUUAAGAGAUUCUAUUGAGUUUAUUGUAUCGGUCUUAAGAGCUUGUAUUGACUAAAACAUAAAAUAAAGUUAUAUCCCAAUGGAUUUAAGUCAAAA